GGACUACAGGGGUUUCUAAUCCCGUUCGCUCCCCUAGCUUUCGCGUCUCAGUGUCAGUUGGCAGCCAGAAGGUCGCCUUCGCCACUGGUGUUCCUCCCGAUAUCUACGCAUUUCACUACUACACCGGGAAUUCCACCUUCCUCUCUGCCACUCUAGCCGCGCAGUAUCAGCUGCAGUUCCUCGGUUGAGCCGAGGGAUUUCACAACUGACUUGCGCAACCACCUACACGCGCUUUACGCCCAGUAAAUCCGGAUAACGCUAGCCCCCUACGUAUUACCGCGGCUGCUGGCAC
Molecule: ribosomal RNA, 292 nt
Filed under: uncultured bacterium
Lineage: Bacteria
Description: partial 16S ribosomal RNA
Source: RNAcentral